RNAcentral lists this ribosomal RNA (487 nucleotides) under uncultured Corynebacterium sp. RNAcentral describes it as "bacterial SSU rRNA". It matches the Rfam family "Bacterial small subunit ribosomal RNA", at positions 1 to 507 of the family's 1533-position model. The record is from RNAcentral. Lineage: Bacteria; Bacillati; Actinomycetota; Actinomycetes; Mycobacteriales; Corynebacteriaceae.
UAGAGUUUUGACUCCGUGGCUCAGGACGAACGCUGGCGGCGUGCUUAACACAUGCAAGUCGACGGAAGGCCCUGCUUGCAGGGUACUCGAGUGGCGAACGGGUGAGUAACACGUGGGUGAUCUGCCCUGCACUUCGGGAUAAGCUUGGGAAACUGGGUCUAAUACCGGAUAGGAGCCAUCUUUAGUGUGGUGGUUGGAAAGUUUUUUCGGUGUAGGAUGAGCUCGCGGCCUAUCAGCUUGUUGGUGGGGUAAUGGCCUACCAAGGCGGCGACGGGUAGCCGGCCUGAGAGGGUGUACGGCCACAUUGGGACUGAGAUACGGCCCAGACUCCUACGGGAGGCAGCAGUGGGGAAUAUUGCACAAUGGGCGCAAGCCUAAUGCAGCGACGCCGCGUGGGGGAUGAAGGCCUUCGGGUUGUAAACUCCUUUCGCUAGGGACGAAGCUUUGUGUGACGGUACCUAGAUAAGAAGCACCGGCUAACUACGUG